GACGAACGCUGGCGGCGUGCCUAAUACAUGCAAGUUGAGCGCUGAAGGUUGGUACUUGUACCAACUGGAUGAGCAGCGAACGGGUGAGUAACGCGUGGGGAAUCUGCCUUUGAGCGGGGGACAACAUUUGGAAACGAAUGCUAAUACCGCAUAAAAACUUUAAACACAAGUUUUAAGUUUGAAAGAUGCAAUUGCAUCACUCAAAGAUGAUCCCGCGUUGUAUUAGCUAGUUGGUGAGGUAAAGGCUCACCAAGGCGAUGAUACAUAGCCGACCUGAGAGGGUGGUCGGCCACCUUGGGACUGAGACACGGCCCAAACUCCUACGGGAGGCAGCAGUAGGGAAUCUUCGGCAAUGGACGGAAGUCUGACCGGGCAACGCCGCGUGAGUGGAGAAGGUUUUCGGGUCGUAAAACUCUGUUGGUAGGGAAGAACGUUGGUGGGAGUGGAAAGCUCAUCAAGUGACGGUAACUACCCAGAAAGGGACGGCUAACUACGUG
RNAcentral lists this ribosomal RNA (497 nucleotides) under uncultured bacterium. RNAcentral describes it as "partial 16S ribosomal RNA". It matches the Rfam family "Bacterial small subunit ribosomal RNA", at positions 28 to 507 of the family's 1533-position model. The record is from RNAcentral.